CUUAGGUGACAUCUAUCAUGCCGGAAUAGCAUCUUACUGAGAAUAUAUUGUCUAAAUUCUCAAGAUUUUAGUUUAAUUCGUUUUAGGGUGUUCAUUUUAUUUAUUUUGCUCUGCAUCUUAAUUUACUUCUAUUAGUUACAGGAGGAUUUUAAUUCGUGGAAUUUCUGGAAACUGCCACCUCCUUUGAUUGAUAUAUGAAGAUGUCAGCUAGAAUAAUAUUUGCUUGAGCAUUCGAAUACCAAGAUAGAUGUACGAUGUCAGCUAUCUUUUUGGUGCUGUACAUUAUCUGCUUGGAACUUGAAUGGCAGUUUUUUUAACAUCCAUA
Hibiscus syriacus is the source of this 325-nucleotide long non-coding RNA. RefSeq lists it as uncharacterized. The record is from RefSeq and is a predicted model, not a curated record. The transcript is spliced from 3 exons. NCBI's taxonomy places the organism in Eukaryota, Viridiplantae, Streptophyta, Magnoliopsida, Malvales, Malvaceae.